GCCUUCCUUACUUAUGUUCCUAUGAUUUUUUGCAUGAACCUCUAUGUUCAAAAUAGUUGGCUCUCCUUGAGUUAUAUGAUUCUAUGUUAAAUUUUAAGUUCUCUAACCCCUCAACAUAUUGCUGACUCUAUACUCAAGUGCUCCUGCAACUAUGGGUUUACUUAUGUGACCUAUGUUCCCUAAAUCUCACUACCCCCGUUUCUGGUUGUUGAACCUGCAUGGUCAUAUGUUCCUUGGUUAUGUGUGAACCUGUUUUGAGUGUUGUGUUUGGACCGUUGCUUGUUACUCUACUACCUUUUCAAAAUUGUCCUAUUGAAUAACUUCCCUUGUUGUUUUACAAAACUAUUUCAAACAAGUCUCUUUUUUUUUUCAAACUGUUUUCCUGCUUAAAUCUUUUCAAAACUAUGUCAAGCAUUCUCACUAUACUCUUAGACCACUAAGUUCUACCCCUUUUGUGUGAGUCUUCUCUUGGGACCCUUGAGCUUCCUCUGAACUUGGAAAAACAAAAGCUA
This 512-nucleotide long non-coding RNA is filed under the name Nicotiana benthamiana. RNAcentral describes it as "long non-coding RNA (NBEN_LNC035420)". The record is from RNAcentral. Lineage: Eukaryota; Viridiplantae; Streptophyta; Magnoliopsida; Solanales; Solanaceae.